AGGAACCCACAGAGACCGUGAAGGAGUUGUAUGACAAAAUUCUUGAGUCUGUUAACACGAAAAGAACAAUGGCUCCAAACGCAUGGGCGUCGUCGAUGAUUGAAAAAUGCAAGAACAGAGAGGAUAUGAAGCUUCUCUUUGAUAUCUUGCAGAACCUACGCAGAUUUAGAUUGUCAAAUCUUCGAAUUCAUGAGAAUUUUAACUGCAACCUUUGUUGAGAAGUCACAAAAGCAUGUGUGCGUGCAAGGGCUCUUGACUUUGGUGAGCUUUAUCUACACAAGUUGUUUGCCAAGUUCAAAAAUUCUAUAUCAUGCUG
Molecule: long non-coding RNA, 316 nt
Organism: Eucalyptus grandis
Lineage: Eukaryota; Viridiplantae; Streptophyta; Magnoliopsida; Myrtales; Myrtaceae
Exons: 3
Source: RefSeq, a predicted model, not a curated record